GAGGCUUGCAACCAUCACUUGUGUCUUGAGCAGUUAAAAGAUAGAACGGUCUAAUCAAGCACCAUGUCUCUUGUUCUUCGAUUAACUAUAGCUCUGGAGUUUUUGCAGAUUUUCAAAUAAAACUCAGAGAUUCCUUUUAUGACUCUCUCUAGUCUCUCUUUUGUGGUAUUUCUGGACCCUUACCAUGACAGUAAUGGUGUAUGGCUUCUCUCAAAGUAUGUGGUAUUUUUAGUAUGAGGCAUAAUGGCAUUGCCUUCUCUAUCACCCUACUAUAAUAAGGUUUUGAUAUCUGGAGCUCAUAGGUGGGAGACAGCUAAUACAUACUUACAAGACAUUUAUUGCAUAGUCAAACUAUGGAUCCAGAGAAACAAGUCAAUAAGUCAAAUCAAGAUGUGCAUGUGUGGCGAAUGAAUGAUGUAUGGUGAUGAUGGUGAUAACAAUGGUGAAAGUCUAAUUCUACUUUUGCUCUUUUGAGAGGAUACAUACCUUCCUUGCUCUUUUGAAACUUUUGGGGAGAAUAAGAUGCUCUGUAUUUUCUUUUUCUUUCCUCUCAGGUGGGUAUCUUGUACCCCUAAUUCUACUGUCAGACACUUGUCCAUUUUUACCUCUCGUCUCACUUUUUCCUUUCUUUUGAGGUUCCGGGCACUUGCCCCUUUUUAUUUCCUCAUAUCCUUUUUUUUUUCUCUUUUUUUAGAGCACCCAUCUCCUGAAAUAAUAUAGCAAGUGGUAGUAACCAAGAUAACUUGAGCAUUUAUUUCAUAGGGGAAAAACAAAAAUAUUUUGGCUAUUCUCUCCCGGAUUAGGAGUAGAAUAUUUUUAGGUGAUUCUGGAGAUGGAAAGAGUGGAUAUAUGUGGAUGCGUACUUCCGGAGUAGAAGCAACAUGUGUUAGUGAACGUGCAAGUGAAUCUUGAUUUAACCACAUGACAAGCUCCUAAGGGUCUACACAGCUUGACCACACUCAAUGGUCAUAAGCAGUAAAAAGUAAAUGUAUGGUUCAUAGUCUAAUAAGCAUGUAUAUAUGGCUAUGGUAGGAAUUUAAACUCUCAUCAUACAGGAACUCAUCAUACAACAUUUUAAAGAUUUUCAAAGAUAAAAUUCUCCAGAAUUCUAUCAUCUCUAGGAAUAAACAGCAGCUCAACCUUCCCAUAUCGUAUCCGUUAACGACUUAGACUUUAGAUCAAGUACUCUCCCCACAAGUUCAGGUUUAGAGCAAAUCUUAAUUAAUACGAGUCAUGCCUAAACUUGAGAGAGAUUUCAAUUUUGAGAACUAGUCAUGGCAGAGCAACUAUUCAUCAUUUCCAUGUGAGAGCUUAUCAUGAGGGUUCAUAGCAAAUUUUGUUUAUUUAUUUAUUUAGCAAACUAAGCAAAGAUAUAUAUAAGUACAAAAUCUUUAUUUGGGUUUUUAUGAUUAUGCAUCUUUUUAUUAUUUGAGUAAAAUAUAAACAUGAGUAGAACACUUAGCUGGAUAAAUGGGGGUGCUCUCCCCCAAGCUGGAUUUUGACGUAAUUUCUUUUUAUGAAGCUAGCAGGUGGCGGAUUUGUAUUUGAAUGUCGGCAGCACCCUGACAGCGAUUAGGAUGUUCUCUGUCUGCUAGUCUUCUUUGAUCCUUGAAUUCAGUGUUAGCAUAAAUAUCUAGCCUUUACCAUAUUGAGCCUCCUCAAUAAAUGUUACACUCUUUGGUAGGAUCAUAAAUUUAUUUUUAUAUUUUUAUAGGAUAGGAAUAUAUUUAUUUUAUUUUUAUGCCACCACAGUGAAUGUACUUAUGGGUUUUAUCCCAUGAGCAUGCUCACAUGGGGCUUACUAUUUUUAACAUUUUUAUUUUCUUUUCGAGAUGAUAUGAACCUGAUUAUCUUAGCAAACUAUUUUAAAUAAUUGAAAGGAAAAGGAUAACUACCAAGUUUACAUCUUGGCAAGGCGUUCGGUGUUUUUAAGUCCUUCGAACGGGACUCUCCGUUUUCUCAGUCGUCCUGGGAUUCGCUGAUGGCGUAGUCGGUGGUUCCGGCGGCGCCUGGUCUUCAUGUAUAACUAACUUCUCUCUCCACACCUGACUCGGUGCUACGGUCUCCUCAGGACAGUUCUGUUCAAGUUGUAUGUCUUCAGACCUUACUACUUCUCCUUCGUAGUCUGCCCAUCCAUCCUUGAUGAUUUGCCUCCUCUGGUUGCGGUUGCGUCAUCUUCUUCUUGUCCUGACCUGCUUAGAGUCUUCAACUAUAUAGUUAGGGUCAAUAGAAUAGCGGCGUACCUUCUCAGAGGGGAAGUGCAUGUGGACUUCUCCGGUUCCAAUGUAAAUGAUUGCUUUAAUGGUGCUGAGGAAAUGUCUUCCAACGAUGACGAGUGGAUCGAAUUCGUCUUCUCCCAUGUCAAUAACCUUUCGGCAUGUCUGAUCUGCCAUCCGGUGUCGCAAAGUGUCUUCUGAAAGUUGUAUCCAUUAAUAGAGCACUGGAUGCUUGGCACACCUGGGUCGUCCUUUUUGAUCAAGAAAGGUGACUUGAGUUGACGAUCUUGACCUCCUUGAGCUCAAGUGACCAUCUUAGCUGACUCAGUCUACAUUUGCUUGUUCCUGUUCCCCCUGUUGAUCCUCUUCCUUGGUUCAUUUUGGGAUUGCUUUGAGAUUUGUGUAAUCUUGUUCUUGAAGGAAAACGUCUGCUUCCUCCCUUUGAUGUAGAAACUGAUCUUGGCAGCACUAGCGUGGAUGACCGCUCCCGAGGUGUUCAGGAAUGGCCUCCCCUGGGUAUAAUAUUGACACUGGAGCCAAAGUCGCAGAGUGCUUCUGGGAAGUCCACCAUGCCGAUGGAGAUCGGGAUGAUAGGGCGUCCUUGAUCGCCUCUGAGUAGUUAGGCCUCUGUUGAUUUCAACCUUGAUUUUGUUGAGAAGGAUUGUAGUAGUUGUUGUUGUUAAUGUAGUUUACGUCCUCAAGCUUCUUAGGGUAGUGAUUGCCUGAGUGUCCAAUAUCUCCAGUGUGUUUGUGCUCGUAGAUCAAGGUUCUUCACUUGGUGGAGUCUGGGAGUUGUCAAACUCCUUCAUUUUUUGCUCGAAGUGUACCUGCUCGUAGAGACAAGGCAGAGAUCAAGUGCAUGGGCCCUGUUGGUGGAAAACACCAACAGAACCAAAAAACGUUUUGUUCUUCUCUAACCUUAAGCAUAGUGAGCAAGACAAAGUUGAUGGAUAAUAAGAUCAUAAGUGUAGGAUUUAAAACAUUUGUUAGAUC
RNAcentral lists this long non-coding RNA (3209 nucleotides) under Sorghum bicolor (sorghum). RNAcentral's name for it is "long non-coding RNA (SBIC_LNC017432)". Lineage: Eukaryota; Viridiplantae; Streptophyta; Magnoliopsida; Poales; Poaceae. The record is from RNAcentral.